CUCAACGUCAUGAUGACGUACUGUUUUAACGAAGUUGAGAAAGACGCGCUAUCCGCCAUUUUCUGCACGAAAAGUUGCUGAUCAUACAAGAAAAGACGAAGGAGCCUGCAUUUGAACGAAAACAGAUGGACUUUAUGGACUGCAAAUAAUGAAUUGAACAACAACCAAAGGAUGAGGACAGCAGCAUGGCUGGGCCUGCUGUGGUACAUGCAAGAGACCCCUUCAAAAUUCAUUAAGAGAUGUGCAAGCCCAGUGACUGAAGAGGAUGGGAUCAAGGGUGUGGUGAUUGGAAUCCUAGUGGUUGCGGAAAACGUGAUGAAACCUCUCCCAGCCUUCUAUGACGUUGCCCUGGUGAUUGAGAAAGAAGU
Labeo rohita (rohu) is the source of this 368-nucleotide long non-coding RNA. RefSeq lists it as uncharacterized. The record is from RefSeq and is a predicted model, not a curated record. The transcript is spliced from 3 exons. Lineage: Eukaryota; Metazoa; Chordata; Actinopteri; Cypriniformes; Cyprinidae.